This 301-nucleotide ribosomal RNA is filed under the name uncultured bacterium. Its description in RNAcentral is "partial 16S ribosomal RNA". It matches the Rfam family "Bacterial small subunit ribosomal RNA", at positions 509 to 807 of the family's 1533-position model. The record is from RNAcentral.
CAGUAGCCGCGGUAAUACGAAGGGGGCUAGCGUUGCUCGGAAUGACUGGGCAUAAAGGGCGCGUAGGCGGUUUUGACAGUCAGAUGUGAAAUUCCUGGGCUUAACCCGGGGGCUGCAUUUGAGACGUCAAGACUAGAGUGUGAGAGAGGGUUGUGGAAUUCCCAGUGUAGAGGUGAAAUUCGUAGAUAUUGGGAAGAACACCGGUGGCGAAGGCGGCGACCUGGCUCAUUACUGACGCUGAGGCGCGAAAGCGUGGGGAGCAAACAGGAUUAGAUACCCGCGUAGUCCCUGUCUCUUAUAC